Molecule: ribosomal RNA, 115 nt
Filed under: Danio rerio (zebrafish)
Lineage: Eukaryota; Metazoa; Chordata; Actinopteri; Cypriniformes; Danionidae
Source: RNAcentral
UGUUAUUGUUAUUACCCUGCAGCUCAAGACCGGUUACAAACUGAAACUAAGCAGGGCUGAGCCUGGUCUUUAUCUGGAUGAGAGACCACAUGGGAAAACUAGGUUGUUGUUGGAG